Molecule: long non-coding RNA, 260 nt
Filed under: Mytilus galloprovincialis (Mediterranean mussel)
Lineage: Eukaryota; Metazoa; Mollusca; Bivalvia; Mytilida; Mytilidae
Source: RNAcentral
UCGUCGUUGAAAUGGUACAACUGCAACUUAUCGGUCCUCAGAUAGAGAGUAAGAUGUCUCAAAGAUUGUGGAACCGAUUCAUUUGGAAAGCCUACAUUGAAUGUCUCUGUAAACCUUUUUAUAGUAACAAGCUUAACUCCUCAAACUAUUCUAGUUAAUUUGACUAUGAAGAGGCCUUCAUAAUCACGACUAAAAGACAUGGCCUGUUUUAGAACUUCCCCAACAUAUUCGUUGAGAAUUCGAAGAAAGACGCAACCUUU